This is a small nucleolar RNA of Gossypium arboreum, 107 nucleotides long. It matches the Rfam family "Plant small nucleolar RNA R71". Rfam says of the family: R71 is a member of the C/D box family of snoRNAs containing the C (UGAUGA) and D (CUGA) box motifs. Multiple nearly identical copies of this snoRNA have been identified in Arabidopsis, and it is thought to function as a 2'-O-ribose methylation guide for 18S ribosomal RNA. The record is from Rfam. NCBI's taxonomy places the organism in Eukaryota, Viridiplantae, Streptophyta, Magnoliopsida, Malvales, Malvaceae.
AUUCCAUGAUGAGGGUACUUUUGUAAUAAUUCUUUGUAUCUUUCCCAUGCCUCAUACAAGGACUCACCAUCCAUCUAUUGGAAAGUAGUGAUCUCGUUCCUCAACUU